Molecule: non-coding RNA, 625 nt
Organism: Pelobates cultripes (western spadefoot toad)
Lineage: Eukaryota; Metazoa; Chordata; Amphibia; Anura; Pelobatidae
Source: the annotation of a GenBank genome assembly
GUCAGUUUGUAUGUAUGUCUGCGAACUGUGUGCAUGUAUGCAGCGGACUGUGUGUAUGUAUUUAGUGGACUGUGUGUAUUCAGCAGUCUGUCUGUGUGUGUGUCGGUGUGUAUGUAUUCAGCAGUCUGUGUGUGAAUGUGUUCAGCAGUCUGUGUGUAUGUAUUUUAUGUAUGUAUUGCAUUUGUUGGAGAUACUAACAAAUAUAAGCCUAAUUUUAUCUAUAAUUUAAAUUUUUAUUCCUGUGAGUUGUGUGUAGGCAGGGCCCCAGUGCACUGGUUUGCCCGGGUGCCCAUAAUGUUGUUAAGAUGGCACUGGUGGGUAGGAUAGAAAGCUGUGAGGGAGCACUGACUGAUGUGGUGUUCCAGCACUGCUCCCUCUGCUGAUGCUGCCGGGUGACAGGAAAUGACAUCAAUCAGGUGCCGCCGCCUGAUUGACGUAAUUUCCUGUUUCCCGGCGGCAUUAGCGGACGGAGCAGUGCUGGAAUAGCACGUAAGUCAGUGCUCCCUCGCGCCCACACCCCCUCACAGCAGCGGGAAGGAAUCGGAUCCACCAGGUAGGGAGCCUGGUAGACUUUAAACCCCCACCGGCAUCAAAAAAAAUGUAAACAGUAUUUAUGUGCUGGGAG